AGAGUUUGAUCCUGGCUCAGAAUGAACGCUGGCGGCGUGCGUAACACAUGCAAGUCGAACGAGAAAUUCCGGGCUUGCUCGGGAGAGUAAAGUGGCGAACGGGUGAGUAACGCGUGGGUAACCUGCCCCUGAAUCUGGAAUAACUUCGCGAAAGCGAGGCUAAUACCGGAUAUUGUCCCAGGGACCUCGGUUCUUGUGAUGAAAGAUGACCUCUUCACGAAAGUUGUCGUUCAGGGAGGGGCCCGCGUACCAUUAGCUAGUUGGUAGGGUAAUGGCCUACCAAGGCGAUGAUGGUUAGCUGGUCUGAGAGGAUGACCGGCCACACUGGCACUGAAACACGGGCCAGACUCCUACGGGAGGCAGCAGUGAGGAAUUUUGCGCAAUAGGGGAAACCCUGACGCAGCAACGCCGCGUGAGUGAAGAAGGCCCUCGGGUCGUAAAGCUCUGUCAAGUGGGAAAAAAGCUUACUGGUAAAUAGCCAGCAAGACUGAUGGUACCAUUGAAGGAAGCACCGGCUAACUCCGUGCCAGCAGCCGCGGUAAUACGGAGGGUGCAAGCGUUGUUCGGAAUUACUGGGCGUAAAGGGCGUGUAGGCGGUGUGGUAAGUCAGAUGUGAAAGCCCUGGGCUUAACCCAGGAAGUGCAUUUGAAACUGCCAUGCUUGAGUAUGGGAGAGGAGAGUGGAAUUCCCAGUGUAGAGGUGAAAUUCGUAGAUAUUGGGAGGAACACCCGUGGCGAAGGCGACUCUCUGGACCAAUACUGACGCUGAGG
Molecule: ribosomal RNA, 770 nt
Filed under: uncultured bacterium
Lineage: Bacteria
Description: bacterial SSU rRNA
Rfam family: Bacterial small subunit ribosomal RNA
Source: RNAcentral